GUGUACCAUACAGUGUGGCUGAAUUGUAAAGCUGCAUAUGGAUAUGAAUACCUCUUCACUAACCUGGGGGACGAGUUUCACACACAGAUUCAUGUGAAAAGCCUGGACAUGUUUAAGAAGAUGCCAGAGAUUCUGAGUCAUGUGACCACGGAUCGAGCCACUCAGAUCCAUGCCUGCCGUCACCCCAAGGAGGAGGAGUUUGUUCC
Long non-coding RNA from Oncorhynchus keta (chum salmon), 206 nucleotides. RefSeq lists it as uncharacterized. The record is from RefSeq and is a predicted model, not a curated record. The transcript has 3 exons. Lineage: Eukaryota; Metazoa; Chordata; Actinopteri; Salmoniformes; Salmonidae.